RNAcentral lists this ribosomal RNA (464 nucleotides) under uncultured bacterium. Its description in RNAcentral is "partial 16S ribosomal RNA". It matches the Rfam family "Bacterial small subunit ribosomal RNA", at positions 339 to 795 of the family's 1533-position model. The record is from RNAcentral.
CUACGGGAGGCACCAGUGGGGAAUAUUGCACAAUGGGCGCAAGCCUGAUGCAGCCAUGCCGCGUGUAUGAAGAAGGCCUUCGGGUUGUAAAGUACUUUCAGCGGGGAGGAAGGGAGUAAAGUUAAUACCUUUGCUCAUUGACGUUACCCGCAGAAGAAGCACCGGCUAACUCCGUGCCAGCAGCCGCGGUAAUACGGAGGGUGCAAGCGUUAAUCGGAAUUACUGGGCGUGAAGCGCGCGCAGGCGGUUUGUUAAGUCAGAUGUGAAAUCCCCGGGCUCAACCUGGGAACUGCAUCUGAUACUGGCAAGCUUGAGUCUCGUAGAGGGGGGUAGAAUUCCAGGUGUAGCGGUGAAAUGCGUAGAGAUCUGGAGGAAUACCGGUGGCGAAGGCGGCCCCCUGGACGAAGACUGACGCUCAGGUGCGAAAGCGUGGGGAGCAAACAGGAUUAGAUACCCUAGUAGUC